AGUCGGAGCUGAGCCGUUUUCACAACAUCCAAGGAGCACAUGUGAGGCAGUGGGAUUUCAGCAGUGCAUCGUGUCUCCCCUUAGUGUCAGCAGACAACUCUCAGAAUAGUUCACAAAGAUCACUACGCCGGUCUUGAGUUACAGCACCGGAGCUACGCUAAUGAGACCAGAAGCUUUUUCUCCUGCUCCAUCGUUCCACUGAGAUACGAGUUUUUGUUUUUACCACUUACAAUUCACACAAAUGGCUACAUCUGCCAAGAUUAAUCCGGAAGGUUUUGUAACGUGUUGUCGAUGCUCAAUAUAGGUAAGUCGUACUCGAAAGGCUACAUUUUCUGCUCUUUAUUAUUUAGAAUUAUUUAUAUGACAAAUUGCUAAUUAAUUUUUUUUAAUGAAAAAUAGGCUUUCCGUAGAACACUUCUGAAUGUAAAAUUACUGAAGUGCAAGAUUCCUGAAGCAAAACCCUGAGGAAGUAGGAUGCAGCAAGAGGAUGUUACACCUCAAGUUACACUGAUGAUUCGGCAAGCUUGCAAUCAGUCCCUCAAUCAUCAGUCACUGAUGGUCCUUCUCACUCCAUCAGAAUCCAAAAGGACUCACAACAGGCAAAGGAGACAAUUUGGAUGCUGGCAUCAGACGUGGAUAGUUCAGGUCAUGAUUUUUAUUUUUUUAGUUUGCAUAUUGUACUGGUGCAAAAUAUAUGGGCCUAUUGACUUGGGGACCCCUGGAAGAAUGAGUUACAGUCAGAGGCCAUGGAAAAGGAGAAUCACAGAAGUAAAAAUCCAGACCAAGAUUUUGUUUCAUCCAAUCAGUUGAGUGACUGUGACACUUUAUACUCAGUUGGCUGGUUGAAACAAAGUCUUAGUCUGGAUUUAUAGUUUUUGGACCUGAACUAUCCACCUCUCAUUUAAUCAAAAGCAAGUAUCACAUAGUUACGGGCUAAAUGCGGUCAGGUCCCCGAAACUGUUUCAAAAAGUGUUGUUUGGUGUCCAUAUUGAAACCAUUUUGUGGUAUUUAGUCAUGAAAGACGAUGUGGCCCUAACAUACACCCUCGGACAGAAAUUGUGCCUGUGUUGUUUUCGGACUGAUCUCGUGGUCUUCUCAGCUUUUCCUGGUGAGGAUUAUGGUGAGAACAUUCCAAACAGGUCAGAUCAGGUCUCCUUUUCCACGGCCGCUGACUGUAACUCAUUCUUCUAGGCGUCCCCAAGUCCCCCUGUAAAAGAUAUAUCCAUUGUGUGUUAACUUUAAAUAAAACUGCUUCAGUUGUA
Non-coding RNA from Paramormyrops kingsleyae, 1262 nucleotides. Lineage: Eukaryota; Metazoa; Chordata; Actinopteri; Osteoglossiformes; Mormyridae. The record is from RefSeq and is a predicted model, not a curated record.